Molecule: ribosomal RNA, 253 nt
Filed under: uncultured bacterium
Lineage: Bacteria
Description: partial 16S ribosomal RNA
Rfam family: Bacterial small subunit ribosomal RNA
Source: RNAcentral
UACGUAGGGGGCAAGCGUUGUCCGGAAUUAUUGGGCGUAAAGAGCGCGUAGGCGGUCCGAUAAGUCUGUUGUGAAAGCCCCGGGCUCAACCUGGGAAUGGCAAUGGAUACUGGCGAGCUAGAGUGUGUCAGAGGAUGGUGGAAUUCCCGGUGUAGCGGUGAAAUGCGUAGAGAUCGGGAGGAACAUCAGUGGCGAAGGCGGCCAUCUGGGACAACACUGACGCUGAGGCACGAAAGCGUGGGGAGCAAACAGG